AUUCUCCCCCAAACGGUUUGAAGGUUAGAGAUCCCUUGUUGCGCAUUCACUUGCCUCCAUGACCUCAACGAUGCCGUGGUCACCCGCGGAUGGGGUGACUUUGACAUAAUCAAAGAUCAAGUACCUAAUCACAAGACAACUAUGAUGCCUUAGGUCAAAGGACUACUUUGCAUUAUCCCAACCAUGAGUUCUCAUGUUACAUGAAUAUGAGAACUCCUCGUUGAUCAUGUUCAGUGGACUAAUUCGUUAUUGAGCACCUACAUGCUUGUCUUGGUGUCAAUCACACCAAUGACUCGAGACUAGUCACUUUCCCUAAGAGAAGACAUAGCAUGUACUGAUCUUAACGGAUUGUCGAUGCCCAAUUGGAAAUCCUAUGAUCAGGAACGUUUAGGAUAUGUAUACGAAAGAAUGGUCUCUUGAAUCUAACUUCUUUAAAUCGCAUUCUCCCAAUCACAUAUUUCUUGGACUUAUCGUUUAAGCGUAUAACAUUUAUAUGAGAUGGCUUAAACAAUAAUCUUUGCCCUUGAUAUUAAACUAGAUUAGUUUAACAUGUGAAAUGUCCGUAAAGUAUCAUCAUAUGAUUGGUUUUAGGGCACAUUUCCAACAUAUUCACCCCGCACCACACGCUCACCUUGGAUCCAAGUAGGUGCAUGUCGAACAGACCAUUAGAGGUGGUUCCGACAUGUCGUACAAACCAUUAGAGAUGGUUCUGACUUGUAGGUGACUUUAGAUUAUUAUACAGUUGUUGAUGAGAGAAGCACUAGAGCGUAUUCUUACACUAUUCUUGUCGUACAGAGUACUUCAGGUAGUUCCGAUUUAUGUGCAGAGUAGUGUCGUACAGGUCACAGUGGUGACUCCGUUUGGGUUGGAUAUUGAGCUAUAAAAUUAACCGUACAGGACAGCUGCAAGGUAUCCGGUUGAUUCCUUAUUUCACCUGUUAUAUUGAUGCAUCCUUAUUAUGUUCGAAGCAUAGCCUGACAUAUUUCUUGAAAAGUAUUAAAGACUUGUGAUUUGAGUUAAUUGCUGUUAUAUGGUUAUAUAUAUACUAUUUUUCUGGGAACGUAUACAGGUUUUACAGGGAGGGGUUAGAAGUGUUGUUAAAUGAAGUAUUUUCGAAAAGCUUUGUUUUACUGACCCACUCAAUCUUGUUUUGUGCCCCUCCAGGUUCUAGUUAGCAGUGUUGGUGGCUCAUGAGGAUUCCCACGACAUUCUGACAGACUACUUAAAUGUAGGACUCACCUUCGGGUGUUGUAAUUUAGUAAUGGUCCUACUUGACUGCACUUAGUACUUAUGCUCGGAAUAUGUGUGUUUCACACUUAAACUCACUCUAGCAUGCUAGUUGGAUAUUAUUGCUAAUAGUUGGUUUUUAUUCCUUCGUAUUUCUUUUAUCUUUUGCUUCCGCAUCACAGUUUUGGUUACGUCACGCCCACGUUACGACUAGCACACCUUGAUUCUAGGAUCGGGGUGUGUCAAUGUAUAU
This 1480-nucleotide long non-coding RNA is filed under the name Malus domestica (apple). RNAcentral describes it as "long non-coding RNA (MDOM_LNC020111)". Lineage: Eukaryota; Viridiplantae; Streptophyta; Magnoliopsida; Rosales; Rosaceae. The record is from RNAcentral.